Gallus gallus (chicken) is the source of this 863-nucleotide long non-coding RNA. RefSeq lists it as uncharacterized. The record is from RefSeq and is a predicted model, not a curated record. Lineage: Eukaryota; Metazoa; Chordata; Aves; Galliformes; Phasianidae. The transcript is spliced from 3 exons.
GGUGCCCAAUGGGAGAACAAGGGGCAGUAGGCACAAAUGUGAAGUCCCAUCUGGGGCUGAGUUUGGCAGUGUCAUUAAAUGGGGAAGAAUCACUGCCUUUAUGACGCAGCAGAGGCUGGAGCAGAGGAAGGACAGAUGGCCUGAACAAGGCAACAUAACAUUCUGUAGAAGGCUGUGAAGCUGUGGGCUGUUGGCCAUAGGCCUGCAACUGCUCAGGGACUACUUGGGUAUCAGUCAGCAUGUUAAGAAAUUGUGUUGCGAGCAGGACAUCAGUGGUUUUCAUCCCUCAUCCCACCUGGGGAGGAGUGAGCAAACAACUGUGUGGUGCUCAACUGCCUGCCAGAGUUAUCAAGCCACUACUACUGAAGCUGACUGAAAGCUUUAUUUUGAACUGGAUGGAAUACAACCAGGACCUAACAAACAUCUCAACACAACAACAAUAUCUCUAAACCCAUCAGAUUUUUAAAACUGCAUAUGUAUCAUAACGUUGACACCACAUGCACUUCUGCCAAGACAGUUUAUGAGCUUUAGGAAUGACAGAUGAACUACACUGCUGAGAGUUCUGCAGCAACAUUUCCAACGUGUUCAGAGAUGCGUACAAUUUACCUCAGUCUAAGUGUGUUGCAAAGGAAGAAGAUGAAGACAAACCAUUUUGCUCAAGUGUGGAUACCAAUUUGCAAAGGCAAACAUUUGCUUCUGAAUCCACUAUUGCAUGUUAUGCAGGUAUUAAAUUGGAUUUAUGUUAGAAGUAAAUUGGAUGUUAAGGUAGCAUUAAAGAAACAAUUUAAUAAAAACAUUCAAAACAAGUUGAAAGUAUUGAAUUAAAAUGAUUUAAAACAAAAUGACUUACCAAUCCAUCAGUA